CCUACGGGAGGCAGCAGUCGAGAAUCAUUCACAAUGGGGGAAACCCUGAUGGUGCGACGCCGCGUGGGGGAAUGAAGGUCUUCGGAUUGUAAACUCCUGUCAUGUGGGAGCAAAUUAAAAAGAUAGUACCACAAGAGGAAGAGACGGCUAACGCUGUGCCAGCAGCCGCGGUAAUACAGAGGUCUCAAGCGUUGUUCGGAAUUACUGGGCGUAAAGCGUGAGUAGGCUGUUUCGUAAGUCGUGUGUGAAAGGCGCGGGCUCAACCCGCGGACGGCCCAUGAUACUGCGAGACUAGAGUAAGGGAGGGGGAACCGGAAUUCCCGGUGUAGCAGUGAAAUGCGUAGAUAUCGAGAGGAACACUCGUGGCGAAGGCGGGUUCCUGGACAUUAACUGACGCUGAGGCACGAAGGCCAGGGGAGCGAAAGGGAUUAGAUACCCGUGUAGUC
RNAcentral lists this ribosomal RNA (446 nucleotides) under uncultured bacterium. RNAcentral's name for it is "partial 16S ribosomal RNA". It matches the Rfam family "Bacterial small subunit ribosomal RNA", at positions 338 to 795 of the family's 1533-position model. The record is from RNAcentral.